RNAcentral lists this ribosomal RNA (300 nucleotides) under uncultured Caldivirga sp. RNAcentral describes it as "bacterial SSU rRNA". It matches the Rfam family "Bacterial small subunit ribosomal RNA", at positions 496 to 795 of the family's 1533-position model. Lineage: Archaea; Thermoproteati; Thermoproteota; Thermoprotei; Thermoproteales; Thermoproteaceae. The record is from RNAcentral.
GUAGAGUCCGGUGCAGGAUGCGGGUGAAGAGGGAGGAUGUAAGCGUUAACCGGAAUCAUUGGGUUUAAAGGGUCCGUAGGCGGCCUUAUAAGGAAGCGGUGAAAGUUUUUUGCUUAACCAAAAAAUUGCCAUUGAUACUGUAGGGCUUGAAUUAGUGUGAAGUAACUAGAAUAUGUAGUGUAGCGGUGAAAUGCUUAGAUAUUACAUGGAAUACCAAUUGCGAAGGCAGGUUACUAACAAUAUAUUGACGCUGAUGGACGAAAGCGUGGGUAGCGAACAGGAUUAGAUACCCUGGUAGUC